Molecule: ribosomal RNA, 416 nt
Filed under: Lygodactylus tuberosus
Lineage: Eukaryota; Metazoa; Chordata; Lepidosauria; Squamata; Gekkonidae
Description: partial 16S ribosomal RNA
Rfam family: Bacterial large subunit ribosomal RNA
Source: RNAcentral
UGAAUGGUUUAAUGAGGGCACGACUGUCUCCUGCAGCUAGUCAAUGAAAUUGAUAAUUCAGUACAAAUGCUGAAAUAUUAACACAAGACGAGAAGACCCUGUGGAACUUUUAACUAACCUGCCAGCAGUAAUCAACCAACCAACCACCCCUAGCAGACAGUUUAAGUUGGGGCAACUACGGAGCACAACAAAACCUCCAUGAAACACGAAUACCAUUCGUCACCAAGGCCCACACGCCAACACAUUAAGCUUGACCCAGUAAAACUGAAUUUCGAACCAAGCUACCCCAGGGAUAACAGCGCAAUCCCCUUCAAGAGUCCCUAUCGCCAAGGGGGCUUACGACCUCGAUGUUGGAUCAGGACACCCCGGCGGUGCAGCCGCUGCCAAAGGCUCGUUUGUUCAACGAAUAAUGUCCU